GUUCGCCGAUUAAAGUGGUACGUGAGCUGGGUUUAGAACGUCGUGAGACAGUUCGGUCCCUAUCUACCGUGGGCGUUGGAGAGUUGAGAGGAUCUGUCCUUAGUACGAGAGGACCGGGAUGGACGAACCUCUGGUGUUUCUGUUGUACCGCCAGGUGCAUUGCAGGGUAGCCACGUUCGGAACGGAUAACCGCUGAAGGCAUCUAAGCGGGAAGCCGGCCUCAAGAUUAGCUCUCCCGUGGCCUUGAGCCACCUAAAGGGCCCUGGAAGACUACCAGGUUGAUAGGCUGGGUGUGGAAGCGCAGCAAUGCGUGGAGCUGACCAGUACUAAUCGCCCGUGCGGCUUGACCAUGCAACGUUA
Molecule: ribosomal RNA, 360 nt
Filed under: Zetaproteobacteria bacterium
Lineage: Bacteria; Pseudomonadati; Pseudomonadota; Candidatius Mariprofundia
Description: bacterial LSU rRNA
Rfam family: Bacterial large subunit ribosomal RNA
Source: RNAcentral